UUAAGUUCAGCGGGUAUCCCUACCUGAUCCGAGGUCAACCAUAAGAUGUGGGGGUUGAGGGCAGGACCGUCUUUGGGUUCCAAGCGAAAGAAGACUUACUACGCUGGGGCACCCCAAGGCUAUCCGCCAUUCAAUUUCGGCAGUGAGGACCGUAGGCACUCAUCUACCAAGUCCAAGCAAAGAGUGCUUGAUGGUUUUUA
Molecule: unclassified non-coding RNA, 200 nt
Filed under: Scutellinia sp.
Lineage: Eukaryota; Fungi; Ascomycota; Pezizomycetes; Pezizales; Pyronemataceae
Description: partial internal transcribed spacer 2
Source: RNAcentral